AACGAACGCUUGCGGCGAUGCUUAAAACAUGCAAGUCGAACGAGAAAGUGGCUUCGGCCAUGAGUAAAGUGGCGCACGGGUGAGUAACACGUAGCUAAACGUCCCUCUUCGCGUGGGGAUAACCUCGGGAAACCGAGGCUAAUACCGAAUGGUCUAAAAGAUUCUCUGGAAUUUUUUUGGAAAGCCGUAAGGCGCGAAGAGAUCGGGUUGCGUCCCAUUAGCUUGUUGGUAGGGUAAUGGCCUACCAAGGCGACGAUGGGUAGCUGGUCUGAGAGGAUGAUCAGCCACACUGGGACUGAGACACGGCCCAGACUCCUACGGGAGGCAGCAGUGGGGAAUAUUGGACAAUGGGCGCAAGCCUGAUCCAGCAAUGCCGCGUGUGUGAAGAAGGCCUGCGGGUUGUAAAGCACUUUCAGUGGGAAGAACAGAUUCGGUCAAUACCCGGAGCCCUGACGUUACCCACAGAAGAAGCACCGGCGUAACUACCGUGCCAGC
RNAcentral lists this ribosomal RNA (495 nucleotides) under uncultured bacterium. Its description in RNAcentral is "bacterial SSU rRNA". It matches the Rfam family "Bacterial small subunit ribosomal RNA", at positions 29 to 512 of the family's 1533-position model. The record is from RNAcentral.